RNAcentral lists this transfer RNA (72 nucleotides) under Camelus bactrianus (Bactrian camel). It matches the Rfam family "tRNA". Rfam says of the family: Transfer RNA (tRNA) molecules are approximately 80 nucleotides in length. Their secondary structure includes four short double-helical elements and three loops (D, anti-codon, and T loops). RNAcentral also lists the same sequence under 2 other names. The record is from Rfam by way of RNAcentral. Lineage: Eukaryota; Metazoa; Chordata; Mammalia; Artiodactyla; Camelidae.
GUGGGUAUAGCUCAGUGGCAGAGCAUGUGCUUGGCAAACACAAGGUCCUGGGUUCAAUCCCCAGUGCAUCCA